Molecule: ribosomal RNA, 283 nt
Filed under: uncultured bacterium
Lineage: Bacteria
Description: partial 16S ribosomal RNA
Rfam family: Bacterial small subunit ribosomal RNA
Source: RNAcentral
AGUGAACGCUGGCGGCAGGCCUAACACAUGCAAGUCGAACGGCAGCACAGGGGUAGCAAUACCCUGGGUGGCGAGUGGCGGACGGGUGAGGAAUACGUCGGAAUCUGCCUAUUUGUGGGGGAUAACGUAGGGAAACUUACGCUAAUACCGCAUACGACCUACGGGUGAAAGCGGAGGACCUUCGGCUUCGCGCAGAUAGAUGGGCCGACGUCGGAUUAGCUAGUUGGUAAGGUAAUAGGCUUACCAAGGCUGCGAUCAGUAGCUGGUCUGAGAGGACGGCCAG